Mastomys coucha (southern multimammate mouse) is the source of this 1169-nucleotide RNA transcript. It is a transcript of the gene named eukaryotic initiation factor 4A-III-like, with no coding region annotated. The transcript has a single exon. The record is from RefSeq and is a predicted model, not a curated record. NCBI's taxonomy places the organism in Eukaryota, Metazoa, Chordata, Mammalia, Rodentia, Muridae.
GAGGAGGACAUGACCAAAGUGGAGUUCGAGACGAGCGAGGAGGUGGAUGUGACCCCCAAGUUCGACACUGUGGGCCUGCGGGAGGACCUGCUGCGCGGCCUACAGUUUUGAGAAACCUUCAGCGAUCCAGCAGCGUGCUAUCAAGCAGAUAAUUAAAGGGAGAGAUGUCGUGGCACAGUCUCAGUCUGGCACAGGCAAGACGGCCACCUUCAGUAUCUCAGUGCUUCAGUGCUUGGAUAUCCAGGUUCGAGAAACCCAAGCUUUGAUUCUGGCUCCAACAAGAGAGUUAACAGUGCAGAUUCAGAAGGGUUUGCUUACCCUGGGGGAUUACAUGAACGUGCAGUGCCAUGCCUGCAUUGGGGGCACCAACGUCGGGGAGGACAUCCGGAAGCUGGACUAUGGGCAGCAUGUGGUGGCGGGCAUGCCGGGACUUGUCUUUGAUAUGAUUCGCCCUAGAAGUUUAAGGACACGGGCUAUCAAGAUGUUGGUUUUGGAUGAGGCUGAUGAAAUGCUGAACAAAGGUUUCAAGGAGCAGAUCUAUGAUGUGUACAGGUACUUGCCACCAGCCACACAGGUCGUUCUCAUCAGCGCCACACUGCCUCAUGAGAUCCUGGAGAUGACCAACAAGUUCAUGACCGACCCCAUCCGCAUCCUGGUGAAGCGUGAUGAAUUGACUCUGGAAGGCAUCAAACAGUUCUUUGUGGCGGUGGAAAGAGAGGAAUGGAAGUUUGAUACUGUGUGAUCUCUACGACACGCUGACCAUCACCCAGGCUGUUGUCUUCUGUAACACCAAGAGGAAGGUUGACUGGCUGACAGAGAAUAUGAGAGAAGCCAAUUUCACUGUGUCGUCCAUGCACGGAGACAUGCCCCAGAAAAAGCGAGAGGCUAUUAUGAAAGAGUUCCGGUCAGGUGCCAGCCGGGUGCUCAUCUCCACAGAUGUCUGGGCUCGGGGCCUGGAUGUCCCUCAGGUGUCCCUCAUCAUUAACUACGACCUGCCCAACAACAGAGAACUGUACAUUCACAGAAUCGGGAGAUCGGGUCGAUAUGGACGGAAAGGUGUGGCCAUCAAUUUUGUGAAGAAUGAUGACAUCCGCAUCCUCGGGGACAUCGAGCAGUACUACUCCACCUAGAUAGACGAGAUGCCCAUGAAUGUGGCUGACCUAAUUUGA